Paramuricea clavata is the source of this 497-nucleotide non-coding RNA. The record is from the annotation of a GenBank genome assembly. Lineage: Eukaryota; Metazoa; Cnidaria; Anthozoa; Malacalcyonacea; Plexauridae.
GAAGAAAUCGUAGAAACAACGGGAUAUCACCCGAGAUGAAAAGAACGUUUUCUUUGAAAAAUAUAUCGAGUUGCUUGCUAGCAGUCGCUUGUUUUGUGGUGCUAUCCAUUCCAUCGUUUGCCUAUGUUGCGCUAAAGAUAACCUCGAAAGAUGAUGGCUCAUUAGAUAAUGGACACAUUGCAGCGCUCUGGGCUGGUACUAUAGCCUCGAUAAAUGGUACAUGUAACUGCCUAAUCUUUUACUGGAAAAACAAGAUUUUACGUGCCGAAGGAACGAAAGUCGCUAAAAGCCUGGUAUACCAUUAUACUGAACAAUAAAAAAAACAGGAAAAAUUCAGCAACGAAAAAUAUAUUUGGCUUGAAGAGAGGGGAAAAAAUGUAAAACUGAUGAAACCAGGCAACUUAAAACAGAUGGCUAUAAAGUAGCCAUGCAGCAGCUGCUGGACUUCUAAUAUACUGAACUAUAUAAAUCUUUGAAUAGGGGCUAUAUAUCUAAAU